This 197-nucleotide ribosomal RNA is filed under the name uncultured bacterium. Its description in RNAcentral is "partial 16S ribosomal RNA". It matches the Rfam family "Bacterial small subunit ribosomal RNA", at positions 328 to 539 of the family's 1533-position model. The record is from RNAcentral.
ACGCUCGACACCUACGGAGGCAGCAGUCGGGAAUAUUGCGCAAUGGAGGAAACUCUGACGCAGUGACGCCGCGUAUAGGAAGAAGGUUUUCGGAUUGUAAACUAUUGUCGUUAGGGAAGAAAAAGGACAGUACCUAAGGAGGAAGCUCCGGCUAACUACGUGCCAGAGCCGCGGUAAUCUGAGCGGGCUGGCAAGGC